Molecule: ribosomal RNA, 484 nt
Filed under: uncultured bacterium
Lineage: Bacteria
Description: partial 16S ribosomal RNA
Rfam family: Bacterial small subunit ribosomal RNA
Source: RNAcentral
AUUGAACGCUGGCGGCAGGCCUAACACAUGCAAGUCGAGCGGAUGAAGGGAGCUUGCUCCUGGAUUCAGCGGCGGACGGGUGAGUAAUGCCUAGGAAUCUGCCUGGUAGUGGGGGAUAACGUCCGGAAACGGGCGCUAAUACCGCAUACGUCCUGAGGGGGAAAGUGGGGGAUCUUCGGACCUCACGCUAUCAGAUGAGCCUAGGUCUGAUUAGCUAGUUGGUGGGGUAAAGGCCUACCAAGGCGACGAUCCGUAACUGGUCUGAGAGGAUGAUCAGUCACACUGGAACUGAGACACGGUCCAGACUCCUACGGGAGGCAGCAGUGGGGAAUAUUGGACAAUGGGCGAAAGCCUGAUCCAGCCAUGCCGCGUGUGUGAAGAAGGUCUUCGGAUUGUAAAGCACUUUAAGUUGGGAGGAAGGGCAGUAAGUUAAUACCUUGCUGUUUUGACGUUACCAACAGAAUAAGCACCGGCUAACUUCGUG